Molecule: unclassified non-coding RNA, 318 nt
Filed under: uncultured fungus
Lineage: Eukaryota; Fungi
Description: partial contains small subunit ribosomal RNA, internal transcribed spacer 1, and 5.8S ribosomal RNA
Rfam family: Eukaryotic small subunit ribosomal RNA (bases 1-73)
Source: RNAcentral
GCAAACUUGGUCAUUUAGAGGAAGUAAAAGUCGUAACAAGGUUUCCGUAGGUGAACCUGCGGAAGGAUCAUUACAAAAUGUUUAUGAAUGCUGUAUUCAAAAACCCCCUCUGACUGAGUACUUGUACCUGUUGCCUUCGCAGGGUGUUGGCGGGAUGAUGUCUUCGCCAAUACCAUACCAUUUAAUGGUUCUGCGGGUGGCCAUAAUGGAAAAAUCUCGUCUUGUAUGUUUUGGUGAGAGUCUGACGCAUUGCGUAAUGGCAAAUUCAAAACUUUCAACAACGGAUCUCUUGGUUCUCGCAUCGAUGAAGAACGCAGC